GGCUUGGUAGCACUUGGAUGUGCCCUGCAUGAAAUUUAUGCUUUCCCACAAUGUGGCUAUGCAGGAGGUGCCCGUUCGACUCGGGCCUGAGCCA
Molecule: non-coding RNA, 94 nt
Organism: Mycena galopus ATCC 62051
Lineage: Eukaryota; Fungi; Basidiomycota; Agaricomycetes; Agaricales; Mycenaceae
Source: the annotation of a GenBank genome assembly